GCCACUGUGGCUCAGGGGUAGAGCGACGCCUUGGUAAGGCGUAGGUCGCGAGUUCAAUUCUCGCCAGUGGCUC
Molecule: transfer RNA, 73 nt
Filed under: Methanobacteriota archaeon
Lineage: Archaea; Methanobacteriati; Methanobacteriota
Description: Euryarchaeota archaeon tRNA-Thr(ggt)
Rfam family: tRNA
About the family: Transfer RNA (tRNA) molecules are approximately 80 nucleotides in length.
Source: RNAcentral